RNAcentral lists this long non-coding RNA (250 nucleotides) under Eutrema salsugineum. Its description in RNAcentral is "long non-coding RNA (ESAL_LNC002177)". Lineage: Eukaryota; Viridiplantae; Streptophyta; Magnoliopsida; Brassicales; Brassicaceae. The record is from RNAcentral.
GCUAAUUGAGUUUGAGAAAUCCAGGAAGCAUCUAUAAAGCAGCAAUAUUGAUCAGCUUUAUGAAUAGCUUCUUGCGUGGUUUUGGGAAUGUCUCGUUGAUGUCUUAGUGGUCCUUGUGACAGAGCAUGGGAUUAUGGGAAGCUUGGAGGGUUUGAUUAUUUGCUUCUAUAGCUUCUCUCCACAACUUGAAAUCAACUAGUGCUUUGUUAAUUAUAUCUGGAAUGGGCCACCUUCGAUUGUUAAAAAUGGC